UGGCCAGAUACAUUUGCAAUAGCUUUUAGACUUACUAUAAGGUUUUAGACAUACCUAAAAGGUGUUAGAGCAGUUGAAUAAAAUCAGAAAGAAGUUCCUAUUAAAAAAGAAGUGCAGCUUCCACAAAUAACACCUGAUAAAAUUGAGCUAUGUUACACAACCUAAGUGUAAUGGAGGUUUAUGGAUUAAGCUUUUAGUGAUCCACAACAAGUGUUUGCUCAUAAUGUUGCUAUGGAGG
RNAcentral lists this long non-coding RNA (238 nucleotides) under Capsicum annuum. RNAcentral describes it as "long non-coding RNA (CANN_LNC014070)". Lineage: Eukaryota; Viridiplantae; Streptophyta; Magnoliopsida; Solanales; Solanaceae. The record is from RNAcentral.